This is a non-coding RNA of Phasianus colchicus (ring-necked pheasant), 2131 nucleotides long. NCBI's taxonomy places the organism in Eukaryota, Metazoa, Chordata, Aves, Galliformes, Phasianidae. The record is from RefSeq and is a predicted model, not a curated record.
UGCAGGAUUCCGGAACGUGAUGUGGAUUUUGAGACUGGAGUUUGCAGAAGAGUUUUCAGAAACUCUAUAACAAAGGCUACAAGCUACAAGCUGAAUUUAGAGGAGUUCAACAUGAAGACAAGGGUAUGCUACACUAUGGAAGGAUUAGCAGAGAGCUAUCUAGAAUGCCUGGACUUGCCCCCAGUCCUGCUUUGUCACAGGAAACUGAGCAUACAGCAACUCCUCUCCACUGUGCCUGCACAGACUGAGAGGGAUCUUCAGAAAUCUCUCCAGUGGAUUUGGCCAACCCGUGUCCCUUCAAUUUUUUCACUGAAGCAGACUUAAGGUAUGGCUUUUAUUCCCAUUAAUAACAAAAGCCAGAUGCUAAAAAAGUAGAAUAAGUAGUCUCUUGGUGCAAUUUAGUAGACUAAGCCAUAGGGAAUUGCUUAAAAUGGAGCUUUUGUUUCUUAUUUAAGUCAAGACAGUCUAUUAUGUAUCCACUGUAGUUCAUAUAAGCAUUUGUGAAUGCUUUGAUUCAGAGGGUUGGUUGUUUUUUUUUUUUCCUGAGACUACUCUGUCUUAAGUAAAUCCUUUUUUUUUUUUCCUGAAAUAAACCACUAGAGCAUAUUGAUGUAAUGAAGUAUUGCUUUCAGUCUCUGAGAAUACCAUGCAAGUACUAUCUACCAUGGAGAAAACAUAUUAUGAUUAGAAAGCAUAUUUAUUCUUGACUCUGCCCAAACGGUUUCUUCGCACACUUGUAUAAUGAGGACUAGAGAACUAAACAUUCUACCUAGAAUUAAAACUGUGGAACAGUUAUCCUGGCCCUUAGGAAGGACUGAAUGUUUUCAAAUAAACUGACAGUUAACAAACAAAUGUUAGGACCACCUGCAGUGACUCGCACCUGCAGUCUCAGCAGCUGAGGUUUACCUUGUGGGGAAGGCUCCUCUGAAAAUAUAGCUACCUGCAUCCAGAGCCAAAUGUGAGCAAAAAGCAGAACCUACCUGUGUCAGGCUUCCUUGAGAUCCAUCACAAGUAGCUGGAUGUAGUCCCAGUGACAAUCAUUUGGUGUCCAACAGAAAGCAGUAAUUCAGCUCCUGUUUAGUGAUGUGCUCCAGGUCAAUGGCUUUGUCCUGCAAGUAAAAGGUAUAGGAGGUAACUUAUGCAGAAAAGACAUAACGCAAAAACCUACUGAGAUAAUAAAAAAUUUGCAUUUUCUCCAGCAGAGUCUGGUUAGACCUGGGAUGAACUCCCAUCUCAUACAGAGCUUGCACUGCAGGGCACAGUUAGCUUUGUCCAAGAUUUCACUGCCAGCUUGGCUCACUUAUUUUUGCUGUGUUUUGUUUUAAAUCCAAGCUAGAACUCUUACAAAGCUUUGACUGCAUGACUGCUUCUUCAGCUCUUUCACCACCAUCCUUUUGGUAAAGCUAAUUCUGUUUUCCUGGAAUUUUAAAAAAUGUUUUACCCAUCUAACCCCAAAGUAGCUGGUCAGCACUUUGCCCAAGUUCACUUUAACCUGAAGAGUCGAUGACCCAUGACUGACUUGGCAUUUACACUAUGCCCACUGCAGUUUGGUGUGUGCUGAAACUGAAAUCAGUGACAAUCCCUGAUUUGUGGCUUGAUAAUUCCUUUGUAAAGGUUCUACUUACAUUUACUUUACAGCAGUCCUUAUUGCAGACCAAUUUCAUCACAAACCAAAAAAGCAUUGGAUUUCUUUUUUCAUAGGCUAGACACUUAAUGAAUACAUCUGUUAUUUGGAAUUCAGAUGUUUGCAGAUAUAGGAGUUACAGCUUCAAGACAGAACAAGUUUUAGAAGAUACUGAAACCACCUUGUGCAGAUCCUGCCUUUAUAAAUACCCAAACACACACCACUCACUUGGACAAAGGCAAUAUAUCCAAAAGCAAAUUGAAUGAAUUGCACUGUCUGCUUUUAGGAAAAUAAUGUAUUUAUUCUUCAUAUGAAAUUGAGAUUUUCUCUCUGUCUUGUUAUGAAAUAUCAAUUUAAACUUUAUAACAUUCACAUAUUUACAUACGCAGACCUGUAUUGUUUGAAUAAAUGUGCACCUUUGCUGACAUGACUGUGGGCUGCAAUGCAGGCCAGAGGAGCCACGUUUAAAUUGCAGGAGGGGAAGAAAAAAAAAAAAAAAGCAAUAGA